GACGAACCGAGCGAGCGUUGUUCGGAAUCACUGGGCUUAAAGGGCGCGUAGGCGGGUGCUCAAGUCCGGGGUGAAAUCCUCCAGCUCAACUGGAGAACUGCCUCGGAUACUGGGCGUCUCGAGUGUGGUAGGGGUAUGCGGAACUAUCGGUGGAGCGGUGAAAUGCGUUGAUAUCGAUAGGAACUCCGGUGGCGAAGGCGGCAUACUGGACCACCACUGACGCUGAUGCGCGAAAGCCAGGGGAGCAAACGGG
RNAcentral lists this ribosomal RNA (253 nucleotides) under uncultured bacterium. RNAcentral describes it as "partial 16S ribosomal RNA". It matches the Rfam family "Bacterial small subunit ribosomal RNA", at positions 524 to 776 of the family's 1533-position model. The record is from RNAcentral.